UUCGCCCUUAGAGUUUGAUCCUGGCUCAGGAUGAACGCUGGCGGCGUGCUUAACACAUGCAAGUCGAACGAAGCGCUUUACUUAGAUUCCUUCGGGAUGAAGAGUGUUGUGACUGAGUGGCGGACGGGUGAGUAACGCGUGGGUAACCUGCCUCAUACAGGGGGAUAACAGCUGGAAACGGCUGCUAAUACCGCAUAACCCGAUAGGACCGCAUGGCCCGGACGGAAAAGAUUUAUCGGUAUGAGAUGGACCCGCGUCUGAUUAGCUAGUUGGAGGGGUAACGGCCCACCAAGGCGACGAUCAGUAGCCGACUUGAGAGAGUGAUCGGCCACAUUGGGACUGAGACACGGCCCAAACUCCUACGGGAGGCAGCAGUGGGGAAUAUUGCACAAUGGGGGAAACCCUGAUGCAGCGACGCCGCGUGAGUGAAGAAGUAUUUCGGUAUGUAAAGCUCUAUCAGCAGGGAAGAAAAUGACGGUACCUGACUAAGAAGCCCCGGCUAACUACGUGCCAGCAGCCGCGGUAAUACGUAGGGGGCAAGCGUUAUCCGGAUUUACUGGGUGUAAAGGGAGCGUAGGUGGCGUGGCAAGUCAGAAGUGAAAGCCCGGGGCUCAACCCCGGGACUGCUUUUGAAACUGUCAUGCUGGAGUGCAGGAGAGGUAAGUGGAAUUCCUAGUGUAGCGGUGAAAUGCGUAGAUAUUAGGAGGAACACCGGUGGCGAAGGCGAUUUACUGGACCACAACUGACGCUGAGACACGAAAGCGUGGGGAGCAAACAGGAUUAGAUACCCUGGUAGUCCACGCUGUAAACGAUGAAUGCUAGGUGUGGGGACCGAAAAGGUUUCCGUGCCGCAGUUAACACAAUAAGCAUUCCACCUGGGGAGUACGGCCGCAAGGUUGAAACUCAAAGGAAUUGACGGGAGCCCGCACAAGCAGUGGAGUAUGUGGUUUAAUUCGACGCAACGCGAAGAACCUUACCGGAGCUUGACAUCCUGCUGACGGUCCGAGUAAUGUUGGACGUUCCUUCGGGACAGCAGAGACAGGUGGUGCAUGGUUGUCGUCAGCUCGUGUCGUGAGAUGUUGGGUUAAGUCCCGCAACGAGCGCAACCCUUAUUGUCAGUUGCUACGCAAGAGCACUCUGGCGAGACUGCCGUUGACAAAACGGAGGAAGGUGGGGACGACGUCAAAUCAUCAUGCCCCUUACGCCCCGGGCUACACACGUACUACAAUGGCGCAAACAAAGGGAAGCGAUACCGCGAGGUGGAGCAAAUCCCAUAAAAGGCGUCCCAGUUCGGAUUGCAGGCUGAAACCCGCCUGUAUGAAGUUGGAAUUGCUAGUAAUCGUAGAUCAGCAUGCUACGGUGAAUACGUUCCCGGGCUUUGUACACACCGCCCGUCA
RNAcentral lists this ribosomal RNA (1397 nucleotides) under uncultured bacterium. Its description in RNAcentral is "16S ribosomal RNA". It matches the Rfam family "Bacterial small subunit ribosomal RNA". The record is from RNAcentral.